CCUUGCUUCUCUGAUGUUAGCGGCGGACGGGUGAGUAACACGUGGAUAACCUACCUAUAAGACUGGGAUAACUUCGGGAAACCGGAGCUAAUACCGGAUAAUAUUUUGAACCGCAUGGUUCAAAAGUGAAAGACGGUCUUGCUGUCACUUAUAGAUGGAUCCGCGCUGCAUUAGCUAGUUGGUAAGGUAACGGCUUACCAAGGCAACGAUGCAUAGCCGACCUGAGAGGGUGAUCGGCCACACUGGAACUGAGACACGGUCCAGACUCCUACGGGAGGCAGCAGUAGGGAAUCUUCCGCAAUGGGCGAAAGCCUGACGGAGCAACGCCGCGUGAGUGAUGAAGGUCUUCGGAUCGUAAAACUCUGUUAUUAGGGAAGAACAUAUGUGUAAGUAACUGUGCACAUCUUGACGGUACCUAAUCAGAAAGCCACGGCUAACUACGUGCCAGCAGCCGCGGUAAUACGUAGGUGGCAAGCGUUAUCCGGAAUUAUUGGGCGUAAAGCGCGCGUAGGCGGUUUUUUAAGUCUGAUGUGAAAGCCCACGGCUCAACCGUGGAGGGUCAUUGGAAACUGGAAAACUUGAGUGCAGAAGAGGAAAGUGGAAUUCCAUGUGUAGCGGUGAAAUGCGCAGAGAUAUGGAGGAACACCAGUGGCGAAGGCGACUUUCUGGUCUGUAACUGACGCUGAUGUGCGAAAGCGUGGGGAUCAAACAGGAUUAGAUACCCUGGUAGUCCACGCCGUAAACGAUGAGUGCUAAGUGUUAAGGGGGUUUCCGCCCCUUAGUGCUGCAGCUAACGCAUUAAGCACUCCGCCUGGGGAGUACGACCGCAAGGUUGAAACUCAAAGGAAUUGACGGGGACCCGCACAAGCGGUGGAGCAU
This 879-nucleotide ribosomal RNA is filed under the name Staphylococcus aureus. RNAcentral's name for it is "bacterial SSU rRNA". It matches the Rfam family "Bacterial small subunit ribosomal RNA", at positions 79 to 940 of the family's 1533-position model. The record is from RNAcentral. Lineage: Bacteria; Bacillati; Bacillota; Bacilli; Caryophanales; Staphylococcaceae.